AUUGAACGCUGGCGGCAGGCUUAACACAUGCAAGUCGAGCGGGGGAAGGUAGCUUGCUACCGGACCUGGCGGCGGACGGGUGAGUAAUGCUUAGGAAUCUGCCUAUUAGUGGGGGACAACAUCUCGAAAGGGAUGCUAAUACCGCAUACGUCAUACGGGAGAAAGCAGGGGAUCUUCGGACCUUGCGCUAAUAGAUGAGCCUAAGUCGGAUUAGCUAGUUGGUGGGGUAAAGGCCUACCAAGGCGACGAUCUGUAGCGGGUCUGGGAGGAUGAUCCGCCACACUGGGACUGAGACACGGCCCAGACUCCUACGGGAGGCAGCAGUGGGGAAUAUUGGACAAUGGGGGGAACCCUGAUCCAGCCAUGCCGCGUGUGUGAAGAAGGCCUUAUGGUUGUAAAGCACUUUAAGCGAGGAGGAGGCUACUUUAGUUAAUACCUAGAGAUAGUGGACGUUACUCGCAGAAUAAGCACCGGCUAACUCUGUGCCAGCCGCCGCUGUAA
RNAcentral lists this ribosomal RNA (501 nucleotides) under uncultured bacterium. RNAcentral describes it as "partial 16S ribosomal RNA". It matches the Rfam family "Bacterial small subunit ribosomal RNA", at positions 30 to 523 of the family's 1533-position model. The record is from RNAcentral.